This is an unclassified non-coding RNA of Prolemur simus (greater bamboo lemur), 335 nucleotides long. Its record names the gene 7SK. It matches the Rfam family "7SK RNA". From Rfam's summary of the family: 7SK was discovered as an abundant small nuclear RNA in the mid-70s but a possible function has only recently been suggested. The record is from Ensembl. Lineage: Eukaryota; Metazoa; Chordata; Mammalia; Primates; Lemuridae.
AGAUGUGAGGGCCAUCUGGCUGCAACAUCUGUCACCCCAUUGAUCACCAGGAUUGAUUCAGCUGAUCUGGCUGGUUAGGCAGGUGUCCCCUUCCUCCCUCACCAUUCCAAGUGUGUCCCUCCUGAAGCUGCACACUCGAAGAGGAUGACCUUCCCCAAUAGAGGAGGACCGUUCUUCAGUCAAGGGUAUAUGAGUAGCUGCACUCCCCUGCUAGAACCUCCAAACAAACUCUCAAACUCUUGGCCUCAAAUGAUACUCCUGCUUUGGCCUCCCAAAGUGCUAGGAUUAGAGACAUGAGCCACCAUGCCCAGCCAACUCCUGGAAUUUUAACAGUU